AGUCGGAGGUUAAAACCCUCCCUAGUGCU
Molecule: transfer RNA, 29 nt
Filed under: Oncorhynchus keta (chum salmon)
Lineage: Eukaryota; Metazoa; Chordata; Actinopteri; Salmoniformes; Salmonidae
Description: partial tRNA-Thr
Source: RNAcentral